UUUCUGUAGCUUCACAAACAUUUGUUAGAUAUUUAAUUAACUUCAUAUUUGGUUUUGCAGGCCAGAUCCCACAUUAGCAACUUCAGUUACUAAAUAUGUAAAAUCCGAACAGUUAUUACUCUUUUUAGUCAGCAAAAUUGUUAGCUGUGUUCUCUUGAUGUUGGUUUAUGGAGGUCCCAUAAACCUUCAUACAAGCAUUCAAUGUCCUGCCAGUUUUGUUUUCUAUUUUGGUUGAAAGAUUCAGACAAAGAAAAGGGAUUAUCUUCCUUAUUCUACAAGAAUUAUUGAUGUAAUGUUCAGUAUUGAUACCAUCCUCAGCCGUAUGAAGGCUGUGAGCACUCACAGAAAUCUUAUUAGUGCUUAUUUUCUUUUUUUUUUUCAUAACGGGUUACUCAGUUCUACUUCUGAAUCUUUAAGAGAUAGUUUGUAGGUUUUGUUCCUUUUUUAGCUCUAUCUCUAUGAUUCAUGGAAUAAUAAUGUCAACUUUCAAAAAUACAGGAAUUCAUUACAGAUUAACUCUCAACUAUCAGGUCCAAAUGGGGGAAAGGUGAACAAUUAAUGUUGCCUUACUUGGAGAAAUAGCUAAAGAUCUGCACCUGUAGAGAGGGUUAGAAAUGCACAACUCUUGCCAGUAAAAACCAUGGCCUUUAAUUUAUUAAAAAUAAAGGGUUUUUUUAUUUACUGCAUGCUAUGACUUUUUGGUAGCUCUUUAGUUUGUAGUUUGUUUCUGCAGCUGAAGGAACACUGUUCUUGUCUUUGCUUUCAAUGCAUGUAUAACAGGAUACUAAAAUAUCUUUGUCCCUCACCAUCCACUGCUCUCUGCACUUGAACUUCAAGCAACAUGACUGCUCUGAAGAAACCAAAAACUUACUUCAGUCAAAGAAACAACAGUCCUUUCGCAUUUCCCAGGCUUCAGCACAGAACAUAAUGUGACUUACUUGGUCACACAAAAUUUCACAACAUGGAUCCAGGAGUCCAAGAGAUGUCAAUGUUUCAAUAAAAAAGCUGGGCAGUUCCCGAAUGAAACCUGAGCUUUCCCAUCCUUCUUGCCUCAAACAGAAAAGGAUAAGUUAUAUCUUCUUAUGACAAUGCAAGUUAUCUGUGACAUUUACAUGAUCUCUUAAUACACUAUAAACUACUUGGUGUAUCAUAUAAAAUGCUUAUAUUUCUUAUUAUUUCCUCUUUCAUUUUCACUUAUUGUAAUAUAAAGAUUCAGUCACCUAAAUGUUGAGCUUAAUCCAAAUUCAAAUUAAAUCUCUUAAACAGUUGGUACACCCCCUAAUUAAGGAUAGCAUAAUCCCUUCUGCUAUGGUAGGCAACUGUAGAUAAUAACUAGAAAUACUGCAUUUCUCAAAGCUCUGCUUUUAUGGUUCUAGUGUGUUUUGCAAACCCUUAGUAGGGUCAAUCUCAUUUAUGAGGUCCUUUAACUGCAUUUUCCUCAUACCUUUUAAGCUUCGUACUUUAUGUAGUACACAGUAAGUCAGCAUCAUGUAAGCCACUAGAAAUAUUUGAACUGGGUCAUAAGAGGCUCCGUCUAAAUUGUUUAGCUUUUACUUAUCUUAUAAACCUGUCUUUUCUCUAGCACGAAGUCUAGGGUCCUUUCUUUUGAUGGUCACUUUUUACAUUUCAAAGUUUAAGCUGUUUUUUUCUUUUCUUUAUAUUUUAUAGUAUUCUCAGUGCUGCGAUUAGGAACAGAGGAACACAAUACCAACCCAUCUAGUUCACAUCCUAGAGUCUGUCUCCUCAAGUAUUUGUCUCCAAAAAUGACCAUAAGCAAAUAGAUCAAAAAAUAAUACAAGGCUUGAAUUAAUCUAUUCUCACUGUAACUAUGACCUGUGGGGUAACUAAAUUUUCUGCUUUAUUAACUGUAAUAGAUCGAACAAAUGGGAUUCAAAUGCCUAACUGUAAACAUUUAUGAAUAUGAACAUCAGAACUUAUCGCUUUAGUGCCCUUACAGUCAGUGGGGAGAAAUAGACGCUGCUAAAGUGCAAUUCAGUUUAUCCUAACGUCAGUAUCUAGAAUGCCUAAGGUGAAUUGUACUAAAACAACUAAAACAAAGCUAAUCUAUUUUAGUCUGUUGAGUCUAAAGGAAUCUUGGGUUGACUAGUUAAGACACAGACAGGAAGAAUUUAGUCAGGUGACUUUCACAAAAGAUUUCAAACUUUAUUUUUUAAUGAGUCCUCUGGAUCUGUUAUUAACACUGCAUUUUGUAAGACUUAAAUAUAAAUCAUUCUGCUAUGGAAAUCAGGAAAGGCUUUGAGUUUUCAGAGAGAAAAUCCAAUGAUUUUUUUGUAGGCAUCCUAUUUUAUUACAGCAUGUGUGGGGGAGUGUGCUGAUAUCCUUUUUCUUAUACUUUCACAAAAAUCUACAUUGUCCAGAAGUGCCCUGAAUCAAUAGACUUCCUCACUAAUUAGCAUCUUAUUUUCAUGCCUCCUUUGCAAAUAACAUGAACUUCCAAGGACAUCAGACUGCUUCAAGUCUUGCUUUCUUUGUCUGAGUUGGUCAUAGCUAUGACAGUCUGGUAGUUAAAAUAUUAGCUUGAAUCUCCAUAUCAACCCUUUCUCUACCCCUCUCAAGCCAAAGUCUGAACUGCAGGCUGUAGACAGCCAAGCUCACACAGGUGUAGCAUUGGCUAAACAAUUCCUCACAAGGAAUUUAUCUCUUGCAAAGAGUUUGCCUUGCAUAAAAAAGUACAGAUGAUUGAAAUUACCAGUUGUCAAAAAUCUGACAGGUCUGUUUGACAAGCAGGUCACACGUGUGAGCUGGCAUACCAACAUGUAUGCCAUGUUACAACAGCAACACGAGUUGGGUACCUUACAAAAAAAUUUACGGAAAUUCCUCCCCAGACAUUUUGAUAACAGAUUAAUUCUUUGCGAAUGCUGAUUUUGUGCCACCACAGUCUGAAGAUCCACGUCUCAGAGGGGAUUUGGCAUCUGAUGUCCAUGGGAGCUCAGCACUACCGAGUGUGAGCCCAAAUAUGUGGUCCAAAACUCUCAGCUUGACUGAAGUUCCUCCAAGUGAGACUGAAGAUGAAUAACAGCUCUGCUAUAGCUCCAGUGAUGCCAAGCCUUGGCAGGCUGAAUCCGCAUCUCAUCAGGAUGCAAACCAACCUCUACGGCUAAAGAGCUCCGUGAUGCAGCAGUCAGCCAGCAAUGCCCAAUAGCCGGCUAGAACCGCACUGUGCUAUAAAUCUUUCCAGUGAAACAAGAGGAGGGGAAGAGGCUUAUUUGGUACGUUAAUCCAUUUAAAAGAGAGGGGGGGAACCACUCUUUGCCCUUUGGAAUCAUAUCAAGAAUAUUUUAUAUUUGAAUUGUGGUAAUAUGCAGCAAUUUAAUAACUUUUAUUUUGGUAGACCACAUAAGUAUUCUCAGUGGAAUAAGUGGCAAAUACAGCAAGGACUUCUGAAAUGUGAGAUGGUCUUUUCCAGCCCAAAUGAUUCUAUGAUUCUAUGCUUUCAGGCUGCUGGUGGCUGCAGGGAGCAGUGGAAAAUCUAUGCAAACUCUUUCCAGCAUAAUUUUCCGAAUGCAGAGACCUGCAGAAAUACUUAAAUGUGAAUGCAGAAAAUUACAACUAAAUACAUAAAUUAAAAUAUUUCAUUAUUAGUACAUUGAUGUGUUGUAAUCUGGGUCACUAAAUGGGAUUAAUAGAGAAGAGAUCUAAUUCAACAUUUCUACAAUGUCAGUCACUGGAAACAGGUUGUUAGUUUAUAAACAGAAGCUAACAAUUUAUCUCACACAUGUAUGCUUGUAUGGACACUCAUACAGUGCAUUAAAUUUUCCUUAAAUGCUUCUGGCAAAUAAUAGUAUUUUAAUUGCAUGAGAACUUUAGAAAUACAAACACUUCAUUGUUUCCUAAAUCUGUCAGAUGUCUAAAUUGAAAUCUUUUAGGAAAUAAGUUAUUGACGUGUAGCUAAGGUUUUGGUGGAAAUAGCUGUGUGAGGUGACAGAUUUAAGGGGCAAUUAAACAGGUGUUCAUGAACCAUCAAAUAAAAUUAAAAAAGGUAAUAAAAUCAAAACAUAAGUUUUUGUCACACUUUAAAAAAGGAUGUCAUUGCAAAAUUAUUUGGAAAAAAAGACAUCCAAGGAAACUGGCUCUGGAAGCCCAGUGAGGUUCUUUUCCAGGUAUGUUAGUGGGAAUUCCUACACUUAAAUUUAGGUUACUUUUGUCAUAAAGCCCCACAUUAGUAUUUACUCUUGCUAAUUGCUUCUGUCUCAUUUCCUGCGUUGUGCAACAUCUGAUCAUGGGUUUAUCCUUAUUUAAUGAUGUCUGCCAAGUUGUGGGGAAGGCUCCUCUCCACUGCAAGCUUUGGUGGUAUCCCUAAGAAAAAUAAUAUGGGAAGCCUAUGAGUCCAAUAAGAAUGUUAAUAGGAAAUAGGAGAGUUUCAAAUAUUUCUGCAAACAGCUAAAAAUAGUGUUCUGCACUUUGGGAAAAUUAGCCAGUGAGUGAUAGUUCUGACGAGGUGAUGUAACUCAGCUUUCCGCCUCUUCAUUUUCACGCUAAUGUUCUUCUGGAACCAAGCAGAACUGGACUGCUCUUACCUCAAGUUUCUUGUGCAGUAUCAGUUUCCAUUCAUUCAGCUGAAAUACCUUCUUCCCUUGAGAAGAGCCAUUACUGUUCUUUUUUAGCUCAGACUCACAACUAUUAUGAGGAAUUGUUUGGAAUUUUAACAGUUAGAGUCCACAUGUGAGGAAAAACCAGUUCCCUCCAAACAAACUUGUAGUUCCCUGGAGAUUAUUCCCUAGAUCCAGAUUACUAACAGUGGGAGGAAGGCCAACACAAAAGCAUAAAAUAUAAUGGAAUGACUAAAACAAUGUGGCAUGGUUCUUCGAAUGAAUUUCCAUAACCCAGUAUUCAUGGAUGUUGAUUGUUUGUUGCACAAGUGUUAUAAGAUGUUAAUUAUUUCAUUUAUAAUUGUUGAAAAUAUUCAUUUAAGUUUCAGAAUAAAUGUGUUUAUGCCUUUUUGGUUUGUUUCUGACUUCUACUGUCAGAAUUAAUUUAUUCAUGUAUGUGUACUCUCAUAUUUAUUCCAAGCAUAGAUAUUCAAACUUCUGUACCAUGAACAGGACCUUCUACCACAUACACCAGGAAAGAUCUGUAACUGGUUGAACUGCAGCUAUUAUAGAAAAUAAAAUUGCACACUAUAAUGAAAUAUGCAUGUAAAUAAUAUACAUAGUCGAAUACUCAAUUUAUAAGUCUGAGCAGAUAGGAAUUGGAACAGAUCAGUUGCCUAAUAAAGUUAAUUAAUUAAGAUUAA
Molecule: long non-coding RNA, 5254 nt
Organism: Cuculus canorus (common cuckoo)
Lineage: Eukaryota; Metazoa; Chordata; Aves; Cuculiformes; Cuculidae
Exons: 2
Source: RefSeq, a predicted model, not a curated record